GUAGGUCGCAAGCGUUGUCCGGAUUUACUGGGCGUAAAGAGCGCGCAGGCGGCUGGUCAAGUCCGAUGUGAAAUCUCCCGGCUCAACUGGGAAACUGCAUCGGAAACUGAUCGGCUUGAAGGUGGGAGAGGGUAGUGGAAUUCCCGGUGUAGUGGUGAAAUGCGUAGAUAUCGGGAGGAACACCAGUGGCGAAGGCGACUACCUGGCCCAUUCUUGACGCUGAGGCGCGAAAGCUAGGGGAGCGAACGGGAUUAGAUACCCCGGUAGUCCUAACCGUAAACGAUGAACACUAGGCGUAGUCGGUAUCGACCCCGGCUGCGCCGUAGCUAACGCAUUAAGUGUUCCGCCUGGGGAGUACGGCCGCAAGGCUA
Molecule: ribosomal RNA, 371 nt
Filed under: uncultured bacterium
Lineage: Bacteria
Description: bacterial SSU rRNA
Rfam family: Bacterial small subunit ribosomal RNA
Source: RNAcentral